Molecule: ribosomal RNA, 482 nt
Filed under: uncultured bacterium
Lineage: Bacteria
Description: bacterial SSU rRNA
Rfam family: Bacterial small subunit ribosomal RNA
Source: RNAcentral
GAACGCUGGCGGCAUGCCUUACACAUGCAAGGUCGAACGGCAGCACGGGAGCAAUCCUGGUGGCGAGUGGCGAACGGGUGAGUAAUAUAUCGGAACGUGCCCAGUCGUGGGGGAUAACGUAGCGAAAGCUACGCUAAUACCGCAUACGAUCUAUGGAUGAAAGCGGGGGAUCGCAAGACCUCGCGCGAUUGGAGCGGCCGAUAUCAGAUUAGGUAGUUGGUGAGGUAAAGGCUCACCAAGCCGACGAUCUGUAGCUGGUCUGAGAGGACGACCAGCCACACUAGGACUGAGACACGGCCCAGACUCCUACGGGAGGCAGCAGUGGGGAAUUUUGGACAAUGGGCGCAAGCCUGAUCCAGCAAUGCCGCGUGCAGGAUGAAGGCCUUCGGGUUGUAAACUGCUUUUGUACGGAACGAAACGGUGAGCUCUAAUACAGUUUGCUAAUGACGGUACCGUAAGAAUAAGCACCGGCUAACUACAUG